GAUGAACGCUGGCGGCGUGCCUAAUACAUGCAAGUCGAGCGAACAGACGAGGAGCUUGCUCCUCUGACGUUAGCGGCGGACGGGUGAGUAACACGUGGAUAACCUACCUAUAAGACUGGGAUAACUUCGGGAAACCGGAGCUAAUACCGGAUAAUAUAUUGAACCGCAUGGUUCAAUAGUGAAAGACGGUUUUGCUGUCACUUAUAGAUGGAUCCGCGCCGCAUUAGCUAGUUGGUAAGGUAACGGCUUACCAAGGCAACGAUGCGUAGCCGACCUGAGAGGGUGAUCGGCCACACUGGAACUGAGACACGGUCCAGACUCCUACGGGAGGCAGCAGUAGGGAAUCUUCCGCAAUGGGCGAAAGCCUGACGGAGCAACGCCGCGUGAGUGAUGAAGGUCUUCGGAACGUAAAACUCUGUUAUUAGGGAAGAACAAAUGUGUAAGUAACUAUGCACGUCUUGACGGUACCUAAUCAGAAAGCCACGGCUAACUACGU
Molecule: ribosomal RNA, 496 nt
Filed under: uncultured bacterium
Lineage: Bacteria
Description: partial 16S ribosomal RNA
Rfam family: Bacterial small subunit ribosomal RNA
Source: RNAcentral